RNAcentral lists this ribosomal RNA (686 nucleotides) under uncultured bacterium. RNAcentral's name for it is "bacterial SSU rRNA". It matches the Rfam family "Bacterial small subunit ribosomal RNA", at positions 26 to 690 of the family's 1533-position model. The record is from RNAcentral.
AGAACGAACGCUGGCGGCGUGCUUAACACAUGCAAGUCCAACGUGUUAGGGGAGCAAUCCCCCGGUAAGGUGGCGCACGGGUGAGUAAGACAUGGGAAUCUGCCCUGGAGAUGGGGAUAUCCCUCCGAAAGGGGGGCUAAUACCGAAUACCGUCCGAGGUCCGGGAGGACUUUGGGGAAAGGGAGGCCUCUGGCAACACGCUUCCGCUCCGGGAGGAGCCCAUGGCCCAUCAGCUAGUUGGUAGGGCAAUGGCCUACCAAGGCAAAGACGGGUAGCUGGUCUGAGAGGACGAUCAGCCACACUGGCACUGAGACACGGGCCAGACUCCUACGGGAGGCAGCAGUGAGGAAUUUUGCACAAUGGGGGCAACCCUGAUGCAGCAACGCCGCGUGUGGGAAGAAGGCUUUCGGGUUGUAAACCACUUUUGUGAAGGACGAAGCCCUGGGGCGGAAGAGGCCCUGGGGGUGACGGUACUUUGCGAAUAAGCCACGGCUAACUCUGUGCCAGCAGCCGCGGUAAGACAGGGGUGGCAAGCGUUGUUCGGAGUGACUGGGCGUAAAGGGUCUGUAGGUGGUUUUUCAAGUCUUUGGUAAAAAGCUGUGGCUCAACCAUAGUGAGGCCAAGGAGACUGGGAGACUCGAAGCUGGGAGAGGGAAGCGGAAUUUCUGGUGUAGCGGUGAAAUGCG